AAUGACGCGCGCGAAUUCUGUGAGCUCUUCAAAAUUAAAGAAAUAAAUUAAAUUAAAUAAAAAUUAAACAUCCGCGACGUGAAAAAUAAUACAUAAAGGUGUCCUAGUGAAAGAAGAGAUUGAAGAGGAACAAGAAACUGCACCGGGAGCGUCGAUAGUCGGAGUUUCAGGGAACUCACACAACUGCAGGAAGCGGAUGAAUUGCCGCAAACACCAAAACAAAGGAUAGUGAAUGUGUAAAGAUUCCGAGCGAAAGAAAUAAGAUUACUUUGCCGAAUUUUGCUGUUUAAUAUAGUAAAUAGAUUAUGUUUUACUUGUACCUUAAAGAAAAUUGUUUACUAACCCUGAUAUGCCUUUAUAAGUUUAAACAUGUAAUUGUAAACAGGUAAACUUGCCUUUAAUCUUUAUUUUUAACUUCACGUUAAGAUUUUAAAUAUAAAUAUCUUGAUAUUUUGCCAGAAGUAAAGAAAUUUAAAAUUGUUUACAAUUAUAAAAUAAUCUUAAUUGGCUAGUUUCUAUAACUGUGUUCCCUGAUAAGGAAUAUUGUUAAAAAUUAAUAUAUUUGUUUGAAUAAAAGCCAAUAUUUUUGGGCUAAUUAUUAAAAACCAAA
Long non-coding RNA from Drosophila eugracilis, 610 nucleotides. RefSeq lists it as uncharacterized. The record is from RefSeq and is a predicted model, not a curated record. Lineage: Eukaryota; Metazoa; Arthropoda; Insecta; Diptera; Drosophilidae. The transcript has 2 exons.